CCUUAAUUUUUUCUUCUUUUUUUUUCUUGGAUCAUGAACACUGUAAACCUGCUUUCCUCCUUCUAACGCUGUCUGCCAACCCGAUGGCCAUGAAUCUCUUCAAAUCCUCCUCCCUCUCUCCUCUCCCUCUCCUACUCCUCACCAUCUUCUUUGCUAUGACCAGUGCCCAGAAACAAAGCAACGUACCCCAAAAAUUUCUUCCAGAAAACGGUUUCGGAAAAGAGAAGGUGGGCCAUCUCCAUUUCUUCUUCCAUGACACACUUAAUGGCCUGAAUCCGACAGCCAUACAUGUGGCCGAGGCAACGUCCACAAAGACAUCUAAGACUGGUUUCGGAGCGAUUGUGAUGAUAGAUGAUCCCCUGACAGAAGGACCCAUGCUUAGCUCUAUGCUUUUGGGGAGGGCUCAAGGAUUCUUUGCAUCAGCAGCUUUAGAGGAAUUUGGGUAUCUGAUGACCUUCAACUAUGUAUUUGUUGAAGGGAAAUACAAGGGGAGCGCCCUCAGCAUUUUGGGGAGGAACCCUGUGCUGAAUGAGAUGAGGGAGAUGGCAGUGGUGGGAGGAAGUGGAGCUUUUCGAUUUGCUCGUGGCCUAUGCCUUGGCCAAGACCCACUCUUUCAAUGCCACCACUGGAGAUGCUGUAAUUGAAUAUAAUGUGGCCGUUAUUCAUUAUUGAAACCCCUCUUAAGGAUUGCAUACUAUUAGAUCAUGUACUUCUGUUGUAAGGUGAUCACAAAUGUAGUCAUUGAUUUCAAA
This is an RNA transcript of Amborella trichopoda, 752 nucleotides long. It is a transcript of the gene named dirigent protein 22, with no coding region annotated. NCBI's taxonomy places the organism in Eukaryota, Viridiplantae, Streptophyta, Magnoliopsida, Amborellales, Amborellaceae. The record is from RefSeq and is a predicted model, not a curated record.